AGUGAACGCUGGCGGUAGGCCUAACACAUGCAAGUCGAACGGCAGCACAGUAAGAGCUUGCUCUUACGGGUGGCGAGUGGCGGACGGGUGAGGAAUACAUCGGAAUCUACUUUUUCGUGGGGGAUAACGUAGGGAAACUUACGCUAAUACCGCAUACGACCUACGGGUGAAAGCAGGGGAUCUUCGGACCUUGCGCGAUUGAAUGAGCCGAUGUCGGAUUAGCUAGUUGGCGGGGUAAAGGCCCACCAAGGCGACGAUCCGUAGCUGGUCUGAGAGGAUGAUCAGCCACAGUGGAACUGAGACACGGUCCAGACUCCUACGGGAGGCAGCAGUGGGGAAUAGUGGACAAUGGGCGCAAGCCUGAUCCAGCCAUACCGCGUGGGUGAAGAAGGCCUUCGGGUUGUAAAGCCCUUUUGUUGGGAAAGAAAAGCAGCAGGUUAAUACCCCGCUGUUCUGACGGUACCCAAAGAAUAAGCACCGGCUAACUUCGUG
This 492-nucleotide ribosomal RNA is filed under the name uncultured bacterium. RNAcentral describes it as "partial 16S ribosomal RNA". It matches the Rfam family "Bacterial small subunit ribosomal RNA", at positions 29 to 507 of the family's 1533-position model. The record is from RNAcentral.